Triticum dicoccoides is the source of this 1079-nucleotide long non-coding RNA. RefSeq lists it as uncharacterized. The transcript is spliced from 4 exons. Lineage: Eukaryota; Viridiplantae; Streptophyta; Magnoliopsida; Poales; Poaceae. The record is from RefSeq and is a predicted model, not a curated record.
CCGCCACGCCUUGCCUCUCCUCGGCCCUGUCCUCCGCCUCCACCUCCCCGCCUCCAAGCAAUGACGACCGCCCGAGAUCCAUAGUGACAGCGGCUGCAGUGGCCCGAUGGAAGCGGCAGCCAUCCCUAGCCGUUGCCGCGUUCUUCUGCUACUCACGUUGGCCAUGGAUCUGCAGCAGGGGCCUCCCUCCUCCGUUUCCCAGAGCCUGCAGCUGAUUCGCCAUCCGGAGAUUCGGAGCAGCAAGCGCCGGACCAGGAGAGGACGAGGGCCGUGACCUGCUGGAGGCACGAGCGCGGCCUCGUCGACGGUGACGACGCCCCGCACAAGAUCCGUAGGAGCUCUUUGCCUCUCCAAUUCCAUGGACGGUGACGAACGGGACCCCACGCUCAAACCCGACGAGCUGGAACGGGCGAGGUCAUCCGAGCCGACCAUCGUGAUUCCCCACAGAACAAUAAGGUCUAUCUCAUGGACACCCAGAUUUUGUAUGCAAUUUUCUCAACACCCAGAUUGGAGCUUAAGGUUGGACAUUUUGAUGGGACUGCAAAUCUUUGGAUGUUGGUGCUGAGAUUGAUGUGGCCCUACCUACAUGUAAGCGAAGCUUAUGAUGUCGAUCCUCCAGGAUGCACUGCCAUCAUGUUACCUCACAAACUGUUGGUGGUAAUUUUGCAUCACCACUUAUUAAUUUAUUUAUUAUUGUUCUUGUCAAAUGCUAAUUCUUGUCAAAUAGUAAUUCUUCAGCUGAAUGUUGAUGAUCUCUUAUGGUUGCAAGAGAAAUGUAUCCUUGGGCAAAAUGUCCACAUUCUUAGGUAUGAUUGCUUACGUGGCUACUUGGUGCUGGGCUACUUGGUGCUGCCCAUCACAAUUUGCACUGACAAUUUCCAUCAAGAGGGCCGACAGCAAGAACUUGAAUAGCAACUUCAAUAGUUUAAAUGAUUUGUUUGUUUGAACUGGAUUGUACUAUUUUCUAACUUUCCCAAGUGAUGUAUUUUGUCAAUCUAUGUUGUAAACUCUCAUUUCAUGGAGCAUUUUGUAAGCUGCUAUGUUGUAGAUACUUGUGAAUUAUUGCAUUUUGAUUCAUA